RNAcentral lists this ribosomal RNA (292 nucleotides) under uncultured bacterium. Its description in RNAcentral is "partial 16S ribosomal RNA". It matches the Rfam family "Bacterial small subunit ribosomal RNA", at positions 505 to 796 of the family's 1533-position model. The record is from RNAcentral.
GUGUCAGCAGCCGCGGUAAUACGAAGGGGGCUAGCGUUGUUCGGAAUUACUGGGCGUAAAGCGCGCGCAGGUGGUCUUUCAAGUCAGUGGUGAAAGCCUGGAGCUCAACUCCAGAACUGCCAUUGAAACUGCAAGACUCGAGUACGAGAGAGGUGAGUGGAAUUCCCAGUGUAGAGGUGAAAUUCGUAGAUAUUGGGAAGAACACCAGUGGCGAAGGCGGCCCACUGGCUCGUAACUGACGCUCAGGCGCGACAGCGUGGGGAUCAAACAGGAUUAGAUACCCUUGUAGUCC